AUUGAACGCUGGCGGCAGGCCUAACACAUGCAAGUCGAGCGGAUGAAGGGAGCUUGCUCCUGGAUUCAGCGGCGGACGGGUGAGUAAUGCCUAGGAAUCUGCCUGGUAGUGGGGGAUAACGUCCGGAAACGGGCGCUAAUACCGCAUACGUCCUGAGGGAGAAAGUGGGGGAUCUUCGGACCUCACGCUAUCAGAUGAGCCUAGGUCGGAUUAGCUAGUUGGUGGGGUAAAGGCCUACCAAGGCGACGAUCCGUAACUGGUCUGAGAGGAUGAUCAGUCACACUGGAACUGAGACACGGUCCAGACUCCUACGGGAGGCAGCAGUGGGGAAUAUUGGACAAUGGGCGAAAGCCUGAUCCAGCCAUGCCGCGUGUGUGAAGAAGGUCUUCGGAUUGUAAAGCACUUUAAGUUGGGAGGAAGGGCAGUAAGUUAAUACCUUGCUGUUUUGACGUUACCAACAGAAUAAGCACCGGCUAACUUCGUGCCAGCAGCCGCGGUAAUACGAAGGGUGCAAGCGUUAAUCGGAAUUACUGGGCGUAAAGCGCGCGUAGGUGGUUCAGCAAGUUGGAUGUGAAAUCCCCGGGCUCAACCUGGGAACUGCAUCCAAAACUACUGAGCUAGAGUACGGUAGAGGGUGGUGGAAUUUCCUGUGUAGCGGUGAAAUGCGUAGAUGUAGGAAGGAACACCAGUGGCGAAGGCGACCACCUGGACUGAUACUGACACUGAGGUGCGAAAGCGUGGGGAGCAAACAGG
Molecule: ribosomal RNA, 753 nt
Filed under: uncultured Pseudomonas sp.
Lineage: Bacteria; Pseudomonadati; Pseudomonadota; Gammaproteobacteria; Pseudomonadales; Pseudomonadaceae
Description: bacterial SSU rRNA
Rfam family: Bacterial small subunit ribosomal RNA
Source: RNAcentral